AGAAAUGAGGGAGGAGAAGGGAAGGAGGAGAAGGGGAUGAGGAGAAAGGAAGGAGGAGAAGGGAGGGAGGAGAAGGGAGGGAGGAGAAGGGGAUGCGGAGAAAGGAAGGAGGAGAAGGAGAUGGGGAGAAGGGGAUGAGGAGAAGGGAAGGAGGAGAAGGGGACGAGGAGAAGGGAAGGAGGAGAAGGGAGGGAGGAGAAGGGGACAAGGAGAAGGGAAGGAGGAGAAGGGAGGGAGGAGAAGGGGAUGAGGGGAAAGGAAGGAGGAGAAGGGGAUGAGGAGAAGGGAAGGAGGAGAAGGGAAGGAGGAGAAGGGAGGGAGGAGAAGGGGACGAGGAGAAGGGAAGGAGGAGAAGGGAGGGAGGAGAAGGGAGGGAGGAGAAGGGAAACGGUUGUAACGAGAUUGAGAGAAAAAGGGAGAGUCGGCCUUAUUUGAUGCGAUGGUGUGUUUGAUGAUCACACAAAUCAAGUCGCGUAUGAAAUGAUGACACACACACACGGGUUGUUCUGUUAACGCAACACAAAGUUAGAAAGCUCUCAGCAUCGCACAUUUGAAAUAGCUGGACUUCUAAUAUUUUUCUCGUCUAAAUUCUGCCCCACAUUAGAACAAAUAAACAUGUAACUCUGUCUCACACUUUGACACAAACUCAUUUCCUCCCGACGAGGCAGGCUUCGUUUUAAAAAACAAACGAAACCACAAACAAAGCCUUGACUAAACGUUGCAGACGCACACUCGCACGCAGACCAACAACAAUCGGGGGCCGACGCAGACAGAAUGUCACAACCCCUUUGUAGUGUGUAAUGGUUCUCAUAAGGGGGCGAGGAGGGGCCACGGCUUCAAUUGUGACAUAAACACUGACGGGAAAACGCACACACACACACACACACACACACACACAUUAGAGCCGGCGGUUAGAGUCCGCCUCCGUGUUACUCGCCAUGUGGUGAUGUGGUGAUGCAGUGUGAAAGGGCACGAGUGCUAACAGUGGCGCUAUCGCUAGCAUGAGCAUUAGCAUCAAGCGCUGCACGAUAACCUCUGCGUUGCCUCGUUUUAGCAUUAGCAUCAACAGCAACGUGAGAGCAAGCGUUAGCAUUAGCCGCCGGCUCCCAGCACUGUGUCAGUGGUUUGAAUGCGGACAAAAAACCAUCCUGAAUUUGCGCCUGACACAAUGAUGAAUUCUUGCUUUGCUCAGUGAAUCAUCAGCGAUGUGCUGGAGUUAGCUGCUCAUCUCAUGCUUCGUUAUUGCGACAACGACACGUUAAUUAAUGCAACGACUGAGGGAUCUCGGUGUUUCCGCCUUCAUCGUGCAGUUCAGAAAGCGCCGAUGAGCGGCGCGUUGCGUUUUCUCCAGACUCUGUCACGCCAUACGGCGAAACAACAGGGGUGAGAGGGGGACGCGGAGGUUGGGAGGGGUUACGGUUGUUGGUUUAGCCCCCACUGGCUGCAUUUCGCCUCCCAUGGGCCUAUUUUACAUACUUUUCUCCCAGACUUCACAAACAAACGAGGAGCACAAUUAGUGCUGAGUGUGUGUGUGUGUGCACGUGAAUGAAGAGCGUGGGAGCCGGAAUGAUGUUUCCGUCUGAGCGAUUGAGUUGUGCGGACACACUCGCUCACGUGAGGCCGUGCACGUCCCCUCACGCUAAACGUCAUCUAAUGUGCUUCAUCCUCAGCUAUCGGAACACACGCAAAGAGCGUUACCGCUGUCAACAAGCGAGCAUGGGAUGUGGAACCGCCGUUUUCAUUCUCAAUAUGUCAAGGUUAGGGUGUAUUCCGGCAUGAGAGCGAGGCGGGAAGGGAAGGGGGGGGGGGGGGGGGGG
Long non-coding RNA from Gasterosteus aculeatus aculeatus (three-spined stickleback), 1817 nucleotides. NCBI's taxonomy places the organism in Eukaryota, Metazoa, Chordata, Actinopteri, Perciformes, Gasterosteidae. The record is from Ensembl.